This 482-nucleotide ribosomal RNA is filed under the name uncultured bacterium. RNAcentral describes it as "partial 16S ribosomal RNA". It matches the Rfam family "Bacterial small subunit ribosomal RNA", at positions 28 to 523 of the family's 1533-position model. The record is from RNAcentral.
GAUGAACGCUGGCGGCGUGUCUAAGGCAUGCAAGUCGAACGAUGAAACCUAGCUUGCUAGGUCGAUUAGUGGCGAACGGGUGAGUAACACGUGACUAACCUGCCCCUUUCUCUGGGAUAACGCUCCGAAAGGAGUGCUAAUACCGGAUACUCACACCGAGGCACAUGCCUUGGUGUGGAAAGUUUUUCGGAAAGGGAUGGAGUCGCGGCCUAUCAGCUUGUUGGUGAGGUAACGGCUCACCAAGGCGACGACGGGUAGCCGGCCUGAGAGGGCGACCGGCCACACUGGGACUGAGACACGGCCCAGACUCCUACGGGAGGCAGCAGUGGGGAAUAUUGCACAAUGGGCGCAAGCCUGAUGCAGCGACGCCGCGUGAGGGAUGAAGGUCUUCGGAUUGUAAACCUCUUUCAGUAGGGACGAAGCGAAAGUGACGGUACCUAAAGAAGAAGCACCGGCUAACUACGUGCCAGCAGCCGCAGUAA